CUGCAUCAAUAUCAACUGGACUGCCGAGGUGUUUCAGCUCCGCUUCAAGUUUAUCAAUGCUUUUGUCGAUCAAAGACACAAUAGCAGGUAUGCGAGCCUUAAUUACUGAUUCAAGGUGCUAGAAGCAAAAGUAAUUAUACUUAAAAAAUGAAAACCAGGAAAUGAAAAAUUAAAAAAUAUGUCAACUCUGAUCAUAAGCGAGUGGUAACUUUACCUUUGAAAGAGAUUUGGCUAAAUAAUUAGAACCCAUUCUGUUUGCUAAGUGGCUGUAGUCAGGGCUUGUGGCAAAGAAUUCAUGCUCCUGGCGCCUUGCAGCAAUCAUAUCAACAUUUCUGUUAAUGUCAGCCUGAGAACGGUUCACAAUUCCUAUCCAGGGAUGUUUCAUCCGGAAAGAUCUUCCCUCAAGAACCUUCAACAUUAAAACAUAUUAGAUACGCCAUUAUGUGACUGUAUAUAGGUGUCAUGAUUCACUCUUGUUCUCCAACCUUUGCUAAACAUUCCACCACAGAACCUAAUCCAUUUUUCUAAGCAUAAUUUUCAGAGACAAAGUUGGAGAACUUACCUCCAAAGCGUUUGUACCGCAGUCCAUCAAAUCAAGCUUCGUCAACACACCAAAUGUCCGUUCGCCUAGAAAGAGAAUGAUAUCAAAUGAUGUUGUGCCACAAUACUAUCAUAACUCAACAUAAUAUAUUGGGCCAGCAUAAAUUCUUCUGGAGAAAUACCAGUUGGAUCAACUUCUCGAGCUAACUUAAUGGCAUCAGAGGUUGCAACAUCUUGAUUGGCUGGAGUUAUGGCUAAAAUGACGCAAGUUGGCUACAAAUCAAAACCAUAUAACCGUUACCGAACUUUGAAAUACAUAGAAUAGUUACUUUUCUCCAAAACCGAUCAAUAUUUCUUGCGGAUGAGAUGAGCUGAAUAGAAGAAUGAGAAGUGCAUUACUCUAUCACAGCAACCUUUUAGUCUAAUUCAUACACCAUGCCGAAGAUGAAAUUUUACAAGUUGGCAUCCAAAAGAAGCUUGAAGUGAGAUCUCCUAGAGCUUCUUAGCACUAGAUGUAGGGAAAAACUUUUACAUGGAACAGUUAAUAGCAGGUCUAGUCCAUGGUGCACUUGCACAUGUUUACAUAUGCGGUUGAAAGUUGUUUUUACUUGUGAAUGUAGUACAUAGUACUUAUAAAUACCUUCUCCACGUAUGAACGAACCAGGUUUUCAAUUUCUUGAAUGAUAUUCUCUUGCUGGCCCUCUGUUAAUAAUCAAAAAAGGUUUAAGCAAAUAUCAUAACACGUAACAGAGUUAAAUCAAUCUAUAUGAUGAAAUGGAGAAACAUACCCACAGCAACCUUUGUUAAACCAGGUAAAUCCACCAAAGUCAAAUUGACGACUGUCAAAAAUGACAAACCACUAGACAUCAGCGAAAAUAUGAAGCAGGAAAUACAUGAAAAUGCCAAUAAAAAUGUAAGAACAGCAUCGGUUAGAACCCAACAAGCAUUGAGCUUAAGGUCGAUGAAAGGAACAUGUCUCACAGCUUCUAUCAAGAGAAAAGACAAAACUUGAAACACUAGGACAACUUUCUUUAAUACUACGGAAUGGUUGCACGUCUAUAGUUAACUACUUGUUUAGUCUUAUUUCUACAUGGAUUGGACAUUAAUAAAGGUAGAAAACAUACCAUUUUCAGAAUAAAUACUUAGAUUAAUAGGAAGAGGAGAAAUUUGGUUCGUCUUCCCAGUGACCCUGUUUGUUUCUUCUUGAAUCUCUGAACGUACCAUAGCUUCAUAUGACCAUAAAGAAAUAAAUCAAAAAUUCGUAAAAAAAUUAUUUUGAGAAAGGGAAGAAAAAAAAAUUGACUAUGUAAAGGAAGCAUUGUUCUGAAUAUGCUGCCAUAAAACAAAAGGAAAUAUCAUUGACAUCCAAUCGGAAACAAUGAAUGGUGGAACAUGGAGGUAAGACAAUAUAAAAUACAAUAUUUUAUCCAAUGGAACCUCUUUCCAAAUAUACAAAAUUGAAUAUUCUCUACAACUUACAAAAAUCAACAAAUUUUCUCUUUCCAGUAUGAAGAAACUGUGCAUAAUCUUCUUGCCCUGGCUCUAUCUGGUGCAGCUGCAAUACUAGAGGCCUUCUUGUCAUAAUGCCUAUAAAAAAUACAGAAACCAGAAAGUAGACAAACAGUGAACAUAAAAGAAAAGGAAAUAAAAAUAUUUAUAACUGCAACUUAGAAUUUUUAACCGUGGUUUUUCUAUUUUCAAACUAAAAGCAUUGUGUUACAGUGAAGUUAGGUAUGAUUUUUAAAGGUAGAUUAGGUUGCAUAGUGUAUGUACAUGACAUAAGCACAGAUGAGAGCACUACCACAAGCUCUGGUUUAUAAGACAAAGACACCUAUAAUAAAUAAACAGAAUCCUGUUCAUCUUUUUAAGUUUCUUUGUUAAAAUAAAGGCAUAUAAUCAAGAAAACCAUAUCGACUACUGUUUUGCACUUUUUAAUUGACUCCUUAUGGAAAGUGAACAAGAUUAAUAUAGAAAAUACCAAAUACCAUAACUAUUGCACUCAUGGAUGCUCAAGAGCAACAUUUCCAGCAGAAAAAACAUAAGAAAAUUUUCAACAGUGCAAAAUAAUUUGAACCCAUGAAUCAACAUAUCCUAUAUUUUUUGUAACUCCGUUUUCUGUAAUGGCCAUGCAGAGAACAAAUAUCAGACCCACUCGUAUACAAAUGAGGGAAUUCCGGCACAUUUUGACAGUAAAUAUGGUCAUAAAAUCACGAUGAUAAUGGACGUGAGAGAUGAUGUAUGACACGAGACGAAAACGUUCAAGCACCGACAAUAUGAUUAAGGGUAAUUGUAAAAUCAAGGAUCAAUCUUUCGGAAAGCUUCCAAAUCUGCCA
Molecule: long non-coding RNA, 2873 nt
Filed under: Olea europaea (common olive)
Lineage: Eukaryota; Viridiplantae; Streptophyta; Magnoliopsida; Lamiales; Oleaceae
Description: long non-coding RNA (OEUR_LNC002263)
Source: RNAcentral